This 274-nucleotide ribosomal RNA is filed under the name uncultured bacterium. Its description in RNAcentral is "partial 16S ribosomal RNA". It matches the Rfam family "Bacterial small subunit ribosomal RNA", at positions 523 to 796 of the family's 1533-position model. The record is from RNAcentral.
AUACGGAGGGUGCGAGCGUUGUUCGGAAUCACUGGGCGUAAAGGGCGCGCAGGCGGUCUGUCAAGUCAGAUGUGAAAGCCCACGGCUCAACCGUGGACGUGCAUCUGAAACUGGCAGACUCGAGUACCGGAGGGGAAAGUGGAAUUCCCGGUGUAGAGGUGAGAUUCGUAGAUAUCGGGAGGAAUACCGGAGGCGAAGGCGACUUUCUGGACGGAUACUGACGCUGAGGCGCGAAAGCGUGGGGAGCGAACAGGAUUAGAAACCCUAGUAGUCC